GAUCCUGGCUCAGGAUGAACGCUGGCGGCGUGCUUAACACAUGCAAGUCGAACGAAGCACUUUAUUUGAUUUCCUUCGGGGACUGAUUAUUUUGUGACUGAGUGGCGGACGGGUGAGUAACGCGUGGGUAACCUGCCUUGUACAGGGGGGAUAACAGUUGGAAACGGCUGCUAAUACCGCAUAAGCGCACAGCAUCGCAUGAUGCAGUGUGAAAAACUCCGGUGGUAUAAGAUGGACCCGCG
This 242-nucleotide ribosomal RNA is filed under the name uncultured bacterium. RNAcentral describes it as "partial 16S ribosomal RNA". It matches the Rfam family "Bacterial small subunit ribosomal RNA", at positions 15 to 235 of the family's 1533-position model. The record is from RNAcentral.